GAUUAAUACCGCAUACGACCUACGGGUGAAAGCGGGGGAUCGCAAGACCUCGCGCUAUUGGAGCGGCCGAUGUCAGAUUAGCUAGUUGGUGGGGUAAAAGCCUACCAAGGCGACGAUCUGUAGCUGGUCUGAGAGGACGACCAGCCACACUGGGACUGAGACACGGCCCAGACUCCUACGGGAGGCAGCAGUGGGGAAUUUUGGACAAUGGGGGCAACCCUGAUCCAGCCAUGCCGCGUGCGGGAAGAAGGCCUUCGGGUUGUAAACCGCUUUUGUCAGGGAAGAAACGGUCUGCGCUAACACCGCGGACUAAUGACGGUACCUGAAGAAUAAGCACCGGCUAACUACGUGCCAGCAGCCGCGGUAAUACGUAGGGUGCAAGCGUUAAUCGGAAUUACUGGGCGUAAAGCGUGCGCAGGCGGCUUUGCAAGACAGUUGUGAAAUCCCCGGGCUCAACCUGGGAACUGCAUUUGUGACUGCAUGGCUGGAGUGCGGCAGAGGGGGAUGGAAUUCCGCGUGUAGCAGUGAAAUGCGUAGAUAUGCGGAGGAACACCGAUGGCGAAGGUAAUCCCCUGGGCCUGCACUGACGCUCAUGCACGAAAGCGUGGGGAGCAAGCAGGAUUAGAUACCCUGGUAGUCCACGCCCUAAACGAUGUCAACUGGUUGUUGGACGGCUUGCUGUUCAGUAACGAAGCUAACGCGUGAAGUUGACCGCCUGGGGAGUACGGCCGCAAGGUUGAAACCCAAAGGAAUUGACGGGGACCCGCACAAGCGGUGGAUGAUGUGGUUUAAUUCGAUGCAACGCGAAAAACCUUACCUACCCUUGACAUGUCUAGAAGUUUCCAGAGAUGGAUUCGUGCUCGAAAGAGAACUAGAACACAGGUGCUGCAUGGCCGUCGUCAGCUCGUGUCGUGAGAUGUUGGGUUAAGUCCCGCAACGAGCGCAACCCUUAUCAUUAGUUGCUACGCAAGGGCACUCUAAUGAGACUGCCGGUGACAAACCGGAGGAAGGUGGGGAUGACGUCAGGUCAUCAUGGCCCUUAUGGGUAGGGCUACACACGUCAUACAAUGGCCGGUACAGAGGGCUGCCAACCCGCGAGGGGGAGCUAAUCUCAGAAAACCGGUCGUAGUCCGGAUCGCAGUCUGCAACUCGACUGCGUGAAGUCGGAAUCGCUAGUAAUCGCGGAUCAGCUUGCCGCGGUGAAUACGUUCCCGGGUCUUGUACACACCGCCCGUCACACCAUGGGAGCGGGUUCUGCCAGAAGUAGUUAGCCUAACCGCAAGGAGGGCGAUUACCACGGCAGGGUUCGUGACUGGGGUGAAGC
RNAcentral lists this ribosomal RNA (1324 nucleotides) under metagenome. RNAcentral's name for it is "bacterial SSU rRNA". It matches the Rfam family "Bacterial small subunit ribosomal RNA", at positions 161 to 1486 of the family's 1533-position model. The record is from RNAcentral.